GUGCUCACUUCAGCAAAAGAUGUACUAAAAUUGGAACAAUCCAAAGAAGGUUAGCAAGGUCCCUGUACAAAGAUGACACAUAAUUCAUGAAGAAUUCCAUUUUUUU
Small nuclear RNA from Vulpes vulpes (red fox), 106 nucleotides. Lineage: Eukaryota; Metazoa; Chordata; Mammalia; Carnivora; Canidae. The record is from Ensembl.